UCCUCUGCAUUUCACAACAUGUGGUAAUAUGUUCGACCAUACUAUUUUUGUAACGAAUUGGUGAUUUUUUUUUUUAAUUGUGUGCAUGUAUUCUUAAGUAAUUAUAAUGAAUAGUGAGUCAGUUGCAAAUUUGAUCGUUAAAAUACCGUGACAUUUUAGUGCUUUGCGUAAACUCUGCAACACAGUAAAAUUUUAAACAAUGGAGAACCCUGAACAAGUAACAAGCUACUAAAACUACUAACGUCUGCUAAAUGUUGUGUGACGCGUCUAGUGUGUUGGUGUUAGUGUCUGUGUGCUUGUCACCUCUCGCUUUCAGCCAUCACCGCUGGCUAGCAGCAAUGCGAAAAGGGGAAAGAAAUUCUAAUGACUUCCCCUGCCAGUACAUAGCCUCUCCACAACAAGUCCUAUGCGAUGCCUCCACGUGGAAGCAGACGGAUACUGGGUAUCAUUUUGUCCCAGGCUAAGUUCGCAAGGACGCACGGGAAGAUGAGUCUCAAAAGCAUUGAGGAAUACUUUUAAGGCUGAACAGGAUCCUGAAGUGAGGAGGACUCCUCUCUCAUUGAAUUGCAUACAGCAGCAGAAAGCAGGAUUUCAGUUCCCCUUUGAUUCAGAAGAGGAACAACAAUGGAGGACCAAGGUCAUUAAUAUGAGAAGAGUCUAUUGCUGUCUGUGUUUUGCAGCAGAAGAAAGUUAAGACUGACCAGGAAUUCUAAGUGAGGAAGAGUCCCUUUCCCAUUCUGCUGCAGCCAUGAGGAGAAUACUCGUAAGAAUCAGACUUUACUUCUUUUUUACCUAUGGAACUUCAUCAUGACCCACUUUAACAGGCAGAAGUCUUACAAGUAUUUUUUAUUUAAUUAUUUCUGACAUAUAUUUGUCCUCCCUACUCUAAAGUAACUAUGCUUUCCUCUCCUUGCCCCAAUAUUCCACCUUAUC
This is a long non-coding RNA of Saccostrea cuccullata (small rock oyster), 933 nucleotides long. RefSeq lists it as uncharacterized. Lineage: Eukaryota; Metazoa; Mollusca; Bivalvia; Ostreida; Ostreidae. The record is from RefSeq and is a predicted model, not a curated record. The transcript has 4 exons.